AAUGGGGGAAACCCUGACGCAGCAACGCCGCGUGGGCGACGAAGGUCUUCGGAUUGUAAAGCCCUGUCUUCUGGGACGAUAAUGACGGUACCAGAGGAGGAAGCCACGGCUAACUACGUGCCAGCAGCCGCGGUAAUACGUAGGUGGCAAGCGUUGUCCGGAAUUACUGGGCGUAAAGGGCGCGUAGGCGGCCUGUUAAGUCAGAUGUGAAACCCCCAGGCUCAACUUGGGGAUUGCAUAUGAAACUGAUGGGCUCGAGUGUCGGAGAGGAAAGCGGAAUUCCUAGUGUAGCGGUGAAAUGCGUAGAUAUUAGGAGGAACACCAGUGGCGAAGGCGGCUUUCCGGACGAUAACUGACGCUGAAGCACGAAAGCGUGGGGAUCAAA
Molecule: ribosomal RNA, 385 nt
Filed under: uncultured bacterium
Lineage: Bacteria
Description: bacterial SSU rRNA
Rfam family: Bacterial small subunit ribosomal RNA
Source: RNAcentral